UAACAAGCUAUCCAGAUCCCAGGUUGAUUACAUUUUAAGGGAUCCUACAUUUCAAAGAGAAGCCCAUUUUAUUCUCAAAGGAAUUAAACAAUAUUGCGGACCUGAUAUUAGAAAAGAAGAGGAUCUUGAUAUAUUUUGCCAAUACACUGCCAACGCUCGUGCUAACAAGGAG
Gordionus sp. m RMFG-2023 is the source of this 172-nucleotide long non-coding RNA. RefSeq lists it as uncharacterized. NCBI's taxonomy places the organism in Eukaryota, Metazoa, Nematomorpha, Gordioida, Chordodea, Parachordodidae. The record is from RefSeq and is a predicted model, not a curated record. The transcript is spliced from 3 exons.